CCUACGGGCGGCAGCAGUAGGGAAUCUUCCACAAUGGGUGCAAACCUGAUGGAGCAAUGCCGCGUGAAUGAAGAAGGUCUUCGGAUCGUAAAGUUCUGUUAUUAGAGAAGAACAAGUUGAGGAGUAACUGCCUCAACCUUGACAGUAUCUAACCAGAAAGUCACGGCUAACUACGUGCCAGCAGCCGCGGUAAUACGUAGGUGACAAGCGUUGUCCGGAAUUAUUGGGCGUAAAGGGAGCGCAGGCGGUUGGAAUAGUCUGAUGUGAAAGCCCACGGCUUAACCGUGGAAGGUCAUUGGAAACUGUCCAACUUGAAUGCAGAAGAGGUAAGUGGAAUUCCAUGUGUAGCGGUGAAAUGCGUAGAUAUAUGGAGGAACACCAGUGGCGAAGGCGACUUACUGGUCUGUGAUUGACGCUGAGGCUCGAAAGCG
This 431-nucleotide ribosomal RNA is filed under the name uncultured bacterium. RNAcentral describes it as "bacterial SSU rRNA". It matches the Rfam family "Bacterial small subunit ribosomal RNA", at positions 338 to 761 of the family's 1533-position model. The record is from RNAcentral.